CCGAUACUUCCUCCGUCCAACGUCCAACAAAGUAUGUCUUAAUUUUGACUAAAUUUGAAUGCAUCUAUACACUAAAUCAUGUCUACAUACAUUCAAAUUUUGACAAACUUGAAACAUAUUUUGUUGGACGGAGGGAGUAGUUU
This is a non-coding RNA of Brachypodium distachyon (stiff brome), 143 nucleotides long. Lineage: Eukaryota; Viridiplantae; Streptophyta; Magnoliopsida; Poales; Poaceae. The record is from Rfam.